This 158-nucleotide small RNA is filed under the name Tolypocladium nubicola. Lineage: Eukaryota; Fungi; Ascomycota; Sordariomycetes; Hypocreales; Ophiocordycipitaceae. The record is from RNAcentral.
CCGAGUUAACAACUCCCAAACCCCUGUGAACAUACCCAACGUUGCUUCGGCGGGACCGCCCCGGCGCCCUCGGCGUCCCGGAACCAGGCGCCCGCCGGAGGACCCAAACUUUUGUUUAAACCAUAGUGGCAUAUUCUGAGUCUCACAAGAUAAAUGUU